This 402-nucleotide long non-coding RNA is filed under the name Brachypodium distachyon (stiff brome). Its description in RNAcentral is "long non-coding RNA (BDIS_LNC001930)". Lineage: Eukaryota; Viridiplantae; Streptophyta; Magnoliopsida; Poales; Poaceae. The record is from RNAcentral.
GUACACCAAUCGACUCAACUUGUGAUCUAAGCCUCUCGUCAUUGAACCUUGCCGUUCUCCGGUAUUCCUCGUCUUCUAUUUGGGGGCAGAAAACAGAUAUUUGUGUGGGAGAAGCAGAAGCUAAUUGGGCUUGCCCAUGGCUUAGCUUCUUUCGGGCUUUCGGCAGGAGAGUCUUGUUAUGCUUGAUUGUAACAAUGUUUUAUUUAUUUUCUUAUUUUGGCGAAAUGCAACCGAAGAUGCUUUUGUGGAUUUACAUGAUUACAAGAAAGGGAGAAUGUAUAUGUAGCUUAGAGAUUAAACAUGACCGAACAAUGUUGCCUCCUAAAAAAAAAGGGAAAACAAAUGGGAUGAGGCGGAUACCAGCAGACAUAUGUACAGCACUACUUAAAAGUUCAUUCGCAC